UUUAAUCAUGUGAUUAAUUGAUUUGUUGUUUAUUGUGACAGGACCAACUGUAUCCAAUCUUCAAAGUAACAUAAAAAGAAGAUGGAUGGAACCAGAACCAACCGGUCCAGUCCCAGCAGCCGGACCUGCUCAGUAGAUGAAACCAUACAGGAAUAAAGUUUGUGGAGUAUUUCUGAGAGUCUGCUGCCCCCUUGUGGCCAAGCAAAUCCCCGCAGGACCAGAUUUAUUUAAAUUGUUUAUUUAAGGAUGAAAAAUGGAAACAUUUCUUUAAAACCGGUUGGAUGGUGAUGGAGCGCUACGGCCACACAAAUAAAACUAGGAGGACAAAGUCAUAAUAAAGUUAUAUUUCAAUAAUUAUAUUUUCAGAAUAAAGUAUUAUUACAAUACUUUAGUCUCAUUAACUGUUCAUAAUAGUGACUUUAGUUUGAUGUUGAAUUUAUUCGCCUAAUAUGAUUUCAUUCUUGUUUAGUCUCAUAAAUAAAGGAAAUAAUAUGAAU
Long non-coding RNA from Poecilia latipinna (sailfin molly), 497 nucleotides. RefSeq lists it as uncharacterized. The record is from RefSeq and is a predicted model, not a curated record. The transcript is spliced from 2 exons. NCBI's taxonomy places the organism in Eukaryota, Metazoa, Chordata, Actinopteri, Cyprinodontiformes, Poeciliidae.